GGCGGACGGGUGAGUAAUACUUAGGAAUCUACCUAGUAGUGGGGGAUAGCUCGGGGAAACUCGAAUUAAUACCGCAUACGUCCUACGGGAGAAAGCAGGGGAUCAUUAGACCUUGCGCUAUUAGAUGAGCCUAAGUCGGAUUAGCUAGAUGGUGGGGUAAAGGCCUACCAUGGCGACGAUCUGUAGCUGGUCUGAGAGGAUGAUCAGCCACACCGGGACUGAGACACGGCCCGGACUCCUACGGGAGGCAGCAGUGGGGAAUAUUGGACAAUGGGGGGAACCCUGAUCCAGCCAUGCCGCGUGUGUGAAGAAGGCCUUUUGGUUGUAAAGCACUUUAAGCAGUGAAGAAGACUCUUCGGUUAAUACCCGGGGACGAUGACAUUAGCUGCAGAAUAAGCACCGGCUAACUCUGUGCCAGCAGCCGCGGUAAUACAGAGGGUGCAAGCGUUAAUCGGAAUUACUGGGCGUAAAGCGAGCGUAGGUGGCUUGAUAAGUCAGAUGUGAAAUCCCCGGGCUUAACCUGGGAACUGCAUCUGAAACUGUUAGGCUAGAGUAKGUGAGAGGGAAGUAGAAUUUCAGGUGUAGCGGUGAAAUGCGUAGAGAUCUGAAGGAAUACCGAUGGCGAAGGCAGCUUCCUGGCAUCAUACUGACACUGASGCUCGAAAGCGUGGGUAGCAAACACGAUUAGAUACCCUGGUAGUCCACGCCGUAAACGAUGUCUACUASUCGUUGGAUCCCUUGAGGACUUAGUGACGCAGCUAACGCAAUAAGUAGACCGCC
This 780-nucleotide ribosomal RNA is filed under the name Psychrobacter sp. A3a-3. RNAcentral's name for it is "bacterial SSU rRNA". It matches the Rfam family "Bacterial small subunit ribosomal RNA", at positions 97 to 873 of the family's 1533-position model. Lineage: Bacteria; Pseudomonadati; Pseudomonadota; Gammaproteobacteria; Moraxellales; Moraxellaceae. The record is from RNAcentral.